This 77-nucleotide transfer RNA is filed under the name Acinetobacter schindleri CIP 107287. Its description in RNAcentral is "tRNA-Arg". It matches the Rfam family "tRNA". Rfam says of the family: Transfer RNA (tRNA) molecules are approximately 80 nucleotides in length. Their secondary structure includes four short double-helical elements and three loops (D, anti-codon, and T loops). Lineage: Bacteria; Pseudomonadati; Pseudomonadota; Gammaproteobacteria; Moraxellales; Moraxellaceae. The record is from RNAcentral.
GCGCUCAUAGCUCAGCUGGAUAGAGCACUUGGCUACGAACUAAGGGGUCGGGAGUUCGACUCUCUCUGAGCGCACCA